RNAcentral lists this ribosomal RNA (254 nucleotides) under uncultured bacterium. RNAcentral describes it as "partial 16S ribosomal RNA". It matches the Rfam family "Bacterial small subunit ribosomal RNA", at positions 524 to 776 of the family's 1533-position model. The record is from RNAcentral.
GACGAACCGUGCGAACGUUAUUCGGAAUCACUGGGCUUAAAGCGCGUGUAGGCGGAUGAGCACGUCUGUCGCUGAAAUCCCCCGGCUCAACCGGGGAACGGGCGGAGAUACGGCUCAUCUGGAGGGGCGUAGGGGGACCUGGAACUUCCGGUGGAGCGGUGAAAUGCGUUGAGAUCGGAAGGAACGCCCGUGGCGAAGGCGACUGCCUGGCCCAACACUGACGCUGAGGUGCGAAAGCGUGGGUAGCAAACAGG